AUUGAACGCUGGCGGCAUGCCUUACACAUGCAAGUCGAACGGCAGCACGGGUGCUUGCACCUGGUGGCGAGUGGCGAACGGGUGAGUAAUACAUCGGAACAUGUCCUGUAGUGGGGGAUAGCCCGGCGAAAGCCGGAUUAAUACCGCAUACGAUCUACGGAUGAAAGCGGGGGACCUGCGGGCCUCGCGCUAUGGGGUUGGCCGAUGGCUGAUUAGCUAGUUGGUGGGGUAAAGGCCUACCAAGGCGACGAUCAGUAGAUGGUCUGAGAGGACGACCAGCCACACUGGAACUGCGACACGGCCCAGACUCCUACGGGAGGCAGCAGUGGGGAAUUUUGGACAAUGGGCGAAAGCCUGAUCCAGCAAUGCCGCGUGUGUGAAGAAGGCCUUCGGGUUGUAAAGCACUUUUGUCCGGAAAGAAAGCCUUGGCUCUAAUACAGUCGGGGGAUGACGGUACCGGAAGAAUAAGCACCGGCUAACUACGUG
This 486-nucleotide ribosomal RNA is filed under the name uncultured bacterium. RNAcentral's name for it is "partial 16S ribosomal RNA". It matches the Rfam family "Bacterial small subunit ribosomal RNA", at positions 30 to 507 of the family's 1533-position model. The record is from RNAcentral.